Molecule: small RNA, 782 nt
Filed under: Pongo abelii (Sumatran orangutan)
Lineage: Eukaryota; Metazoa; Chordata; Mammalia; Primates; Hominidae
Description: processed transcript
Source: RNAcentral
GAAAGAAAAAAUCGAAAGCAAUGAAAAUGAACAGUUAAGGUUUUCAAAGAUCCUUGACAUAGCUAGCAACAUAAUGGUUGUCUCUCUACCUGGGGCUUCUAAGCUACUUGGAGUAGGGAUAAAAUAUCUUGGCUCACGUAUUUAAGAGCCUGAAUGUUCCAGUGCAUGCAGCCCCUGUCACAUACCACCUGUUUGCUCAAGUCAAUCAUGACCCUUUCAUGUGAAAUCUUUAGUGUUGUGAGCCCUUAAAAGGGACAGAAACUUUGCAUUCAAGGAGCUUGGAUUUUAAGGCAGCAGCUUGCAGAUGCCAACAGCUGAAAAAAGCCCUUCCUUCUACAAUUCCGUGUCUGAGAAGUUUUGUCUGCAGCUCAUCCUGCUACAGAAUGAACUCAUUGUAAUUCUACAAGAUAUGCAUAUUCUUUUGACCAUGGGCCUUUUCACAGGGGACACAGGCUUCUUAAAACAACCUGGCUUCCUCACCCUAUGUCCUUUAUUUACAAAGCUGUGCUCCUAUUCAUGAGCAUGGAAUGUUUUUCCAUUUGUUUGUGACAUCUCUUAUUUCUUUCAGGGGUAUCUUGUAACUCUCAUUAUAUAUAUCUUUUGCCUCCUUGGUUAGCUGUAUUUUUAGGUAUUUUAUUCUUCUUGUGGCAAUUGUGAAUCGGAUUGCAUUCCUGAUUUGGGUCUCGGCUUGAAUGUUAUUAAUGCCACAUAUUUUAAAUAGACAAAAAUAUGAGAUUAAAAAUGUUGAAUUUUACUAACAAUAAAAGUUGUUCAAAGGAAAA